AAAAAAAAAGGGUUACAUAGAGAGACAGAGAAAAAGGGAACCUAGAGGGAGUCUGAAGGAGAAAGGAGAGAGUACAAGAAAUUCACUAUAAGGAGACAAGUAAGAAUAUCAGUUUAGUUUUUCUUAUUCUUAAGGUAUACUCAAAGCAUCAGAUAAAUUUCAUUACAGCUGUGUCACAUUAUUUAGUUUUUCUCCCUUUCCUUCUUGUGGAAUUGGCCACUCUGAAUACAUAUACUCAGUACAUUUAACAAAUGAGAGAAUUCGGUUAUUCCCUUAGAUAGUCACCGUAAUUAAGGAGAAUAAGUGUCCCAUGGAAAUGAUAGGCCAACUAGUAAGAGUAUUAGUAAAUAGAGGAAACCUGACAAUAGUUGUGUCAUAUUAACUCUGAGCAAACCUUUAUAUUAGGGUCUGGAUCAUUUUAGUUUAUUAGUAAUUAGUGUAUUCUAGCUUCACAUUAAUUAUUUUUGGUUAGCAAUGAAAUAUUCUAUACAUUAGUUAUCUUAACCAUGAAUCUUAUACCAAUAUUGAAUGGCCAAGUUUAAACUGUACUGAGUUAUUAAACAAAAUUAGAAGGUUCUUUUUAUGGAUCAAAGUAAAAUGAAUUGCGUGUGUAGCAGCAGCUGAACUGCAGUGUCAAAAACAAAUGCAAUGAAUAAUAAAGAGAGGUCACAUAUAGAUAACAGAAUGAAUAAAGAGGGUGGGAAUCAUACUUUAAUGCAAAUCCAAGCCUUGACUACAGUAAGUGAAAUUGAAGCUAAAAUAAUGAACCUUUAAUCGUGAAGGUAUAGAGGUGGGAGAGCAAAGACCGCUGCGUGAGGAGUUUAACGACGGUUGUUGCGAAGGUAAGGGCAUCACUCCACGCGCUUCCGUACGUGUAUAUGUGUAUAUAUUUGUGUUGUGAUAAUUAUCUUGGUGGUUUUGUUUCGGCAUGAAUAUGUGUUAUUAUUUGUCUGGUGUUGUUUUAACAUAAAUAUUACUUGUUAAGUAACUAAAAUGGCGAUUCAAAACUAUAUCCAAAGAUGGGAUAUUAGACUUUUGAUUUUAGGAGAUUACCCCGGUGGGGUAUUUACGGAGACAUUCAUGCAUUAGAUGACUCAGACAAAUGCCCAAUGGUGGGGCACUGAUCACCGAGUUUUAGGAGUUACUACCCAACGGUGAGGUAGUGGCGAUUCAUAUGCACUAGGUGAUUCAGAAUAAUGCCCAAUGGUGGGGUACUGAACUUCAAAUUUUUAGGAGUUAUUACCCAAUGGUGGGGUAUUGCCCAAUGGUGGGGUAUAUUGUCCAAUGAUGGGACAUUUGGCUCCGUUUAGAGGCGAAAUCGGAUCAUGAGCAUUGGCAUAUAGACUCACCAAUAGGGAUUAACGCAUUUUAGUCAAGUUGUAACUUAAGGCUAGGGGUGGUGAUUAAGUAACUGAGGAAUGUAUCUUGUACUAUUUAUUUAUCUAUUUAUUUUUGGUUUUCUUUUAAUUAAAUUUAUAUCUGCAUGCAUAUUUUUACUAUGUUUGUUAGUUGGAGAUGACCCUUACUUUUGGACAGAUAAUCAUCAAUUCGUCUUUCCUCCUUAACGGCGACGUCAGGGAGGUAAAGUGAUAUAGUAGAAGAAGACGCAAGUAAAGCGGUGGUGCACAUUUGGAGGCUUGAUAAAUUCCGACAGUGGUAUUAGCCUUGAUGAGAAAACUUUUCGCAAGCAUCCGAAACUAUGGCCAGCUAGGUUUAUUCUUGGGUAGAGAAAAAAGGGCCAAGUGUCUUGUUCGUAGGAUACUUAUAUUUUUGAUG
RNAcentral lists this long non-coding RNA (1776 nucleotides) under Medicago truncatula (barrel medic). RNAcentral's name for it is "long non-coding RNA (MTRU_LNC005018)". The record is from RNAcentral. Lineage: Eukaryota; Viridiplantae; Streptophyta; Magnoliopsida; Fabales; Fabaceae.